ACGGGUAUAGCUCAGUUGGUAGAGCAUCUGGCUUACAUCCAGAAGGUCAACAGUUCAAGCCUGUUUAUCCGUUCCA
This 76-nucleotide transfer RNA is filed under the name Chlamydia trachomatis. RNAcentral's name for it is "tRNA-Val(tac)". It matches the Rfam family "tRNA". From Rfam's summary of the family: Transfer RNA (tRNA) molecules are approximately 80 nucleotides in length. Lineage: Bacteria; Pseudomonadati; Chlamydiota; Chlamydiia; Chlamydiales; Chlamydiaceae. The record is from RNAcentral. RNAcentral also lists the same sequence under 1 other name.